CGGCGACUCAACAUCACCCUGGGCCGGCGACUCAACAUCACCCUGGGCCGGCGCCUCAGGGCUCGUGCAUCAACGGCUCACCUCAGCAUUGCCCUGGGCUGUCGCACCUCAACACCACGGCUCAACAUCACAACUCGGCAUCACAAUGGGCCAUCGCCUCAGCAUCGCACUGGGCUGUCGCCCCAACUUUAACGCCAGUCACCUGGUUGUAUCGGUAUCCUCAUCCAUCCUGCAUGACAAACUUAUCGCAGCUACCCACUGGUAGCGAGUAGGAGUUUAUGUCUAUUUUGAUAUGCCGUUUUUGUUCUGGUGCCGUUAUUCAGUGAUGUUUCAGCUUUCUGCUCUGUCCCUCUCAGGUCUCGAUAACCGGCUCUCCAACUCUCCUCUGUCGUAAGCUCGCACUUUCUGCAUUCUCCUGACGAAGGUGCCACCCUUUUUUAUUGCUAGUCUAAUCAUGCAGUUACCGCAAGUUGUUUCUCUCAACCAACCAGGGCAUCCGCCCCACUGCCUGUGUCCAUGCCUGCUUUGCACAAGCAUUCACCGCGCCACACCGCGUAGGUGUUUAUCAUAACUGACAUGGUGUUAUUAUUCUUGGUCGAGAUGUUUUCUUGGUGUUUCAUUCAUUGUUCGUUUCAGCUACAAGCUCUGCUCUCUCCCUCUCUUAGGUCAUGAUUACCAGUUGUCUGCCGAUUCUCCUCUGUUUUAACCUGACCUUUCUGCUAUCCUGGCCGAGGUGCUCGUCUUUUAAUGUUAGCCACUCAUGCUUUGUCUAAAGCUGUCUCUCUCACCACUCUGGGCAGACGCCCGCAUAGUGCAGGCUUUCAGCCGCUGGUCUGACGCAGUGCAUCUUGCAUUCGGCUCAUUCCUCGCUUUGUCAUCUGGCUCAGUGUACUGUUUCUGUUCUGUUAACUCUGUUUCGUUCUUCUCGUUCCUCGCCCAAGAGGUAUACAGCACGCUCGUUCAGAAUCGGCGUGGCCACCACGGCCGCUAAGCGGGGUCUGUCCCCUACUGCGAUCAAGGCGCUGGGCCGUUGGUCGUCUGGCGCAUACGCUUCCUGCAUUUGCCUCACUCCUCAUCACCUCGUUGAAGCAUGCUAUAUCUGGUCUGUAACUUUAUGUUUUCUAUUCUCAUUUCUGGUGACGGUGGUAUUUUGCUGCACCGGCGGCAUUCACUCCAUCUCUUGGGGGGCUAUCGCUCCGGUCACCCGGUCAUGUCUGUAUUCUAUCCUUCUCUCAUCUAUCAGAUCGAUUUUAUAGUGGUCCGUAAGCCUGUUAUCUCUAUAUUUUGUAACAUUGAACCAGCCUAGUUGCCAUGGUUGUUUAUCUAUGAUGUCAACUAUCAUACCACAUAUUAUAGCCUACAUUCAUUCAUCCAUCCAUUCAUUUACUCAUUCAUCACCAUGUUCUACUCUCUCUCCUAGGUCACGAUUCCGGCUCUCUACCUACUGUCAUAAUCUAAGUUUUCAGCGCUCUCCUGACCAAGGUGCAUCUAUCAAUCAAAUCAUAACGCUCUGCUGUGUCUCUGCUCUCAGCGCAUCCGCGCCAUGUCUUCUCGCAUAGCCUAAGAUGGUGUCUCCUUGUAAGCGGUAGUUAAGCCGAUUUUGAAGCCACCACCACCCCUCCGUCCACCGUCACCAGAGGUUCCCGUCUGUUAGGGGGCAGGCUACGCCCGCCUCCAUCUCCGCUGGAGGAUAUGCUGUCCUAUCCCGGAGUUCAACGCGAAGACGGGAACCUUCGCCAAACUGAUUCAUGCAUUUUAUCAAGUGUUAUUGUUCGCCAAACUUUUAUGCAUUCCUGUAUCAUGUCUAAUGUUCAAUAAAUGUUAAUAACGUU
Long non-coding RNA from Engraulis encrasicolus (European anchovy), 1832 nucleotides. RefSeq lists it as uncharacterized. The record is from RefSeq and is a predicted model, not a curated record. Lineage: Eukaryota; Metazoa; Chordata; Actinopteri; Clupeiformes; Engraulidae. The transcript is spliced from 3 exons.